This 62-nucleotide non-coding RNA is filed under the name unclassified sequences. RNAcentral describes it as "RAGATH-18 RNA". It matches the Rfam family "RAGATH-18 RNA". Rfam says of the family: Actinobacteria, Firmicutes, Fusobacteria, Thermotogae (1 example). The record is from Rfam by way of RNAcentral.
GCUGUGGAGUGUCAAACAAAAGUACGGUAGCUUCGGCAAAGACGGACACGUUGAAGCAGUAA